This is a long non-coding RNA of Sycon ciliatum, 2042 nucleotides long. RefSeq lists it as uncharacterized. The transcript is spliced from 7 exons. The record is from RefSeq and is a predicted model, not a curated record. NCBI's taxonomy places the organism in Eukaryota, Metazoa, Porifera, Calcarea, Leucosolenida, Sycettidae.
CGGCUUCAGAGUACUCGUAGUGGGUAAUGUGACGGUAGUGAAUUAGCCGAAAGGCAACGAAUUUAUUUGAACUAGAUAGUAAUGUAAGCGAAGAGAAGGUCACGCGUCUGCUAUGAUUGUCGAACAUGAAGAAAAUUUAAAAGUGAAGCUAAAAUGACGAAAUGCGAAGAUCAAAACAUGAACAACAACCAUUAGCAAACUCACCCAGGAUUCCGAGCGAGCACCCAUGACUCUGGAUCAAGGCAAGCAGAUCCUGCGCCAGUUGCUGACAGCUGUACUGGCACCUUUCUGGCAUACUCGGACCACUGGAACAAAGGUUUGUCCGUGUCCUAGUUGAGCACGAUCCGUCGGAACAGGAUUUGUGUUUCAGUGCAGAGACUGUCGGUAGACUGACGAGCUGCGUGGUGAUAGUGGCGGCAGUCGUCCAAUGGCCGAUUCUGCCGAUCUCCGUACUGACCAUCAGCUUCUCUUGCUGGUUGUUGGCCUCCCCGGUCCAGCUGUUCCUUCUCUUUCUGUUGUACUUGCUGCUGCUGGAACUGGCGAAUUUCUUCGCGGCGCUGCCUGUAAAGAGACUUGUGGGACACAUCACCGCUCAUUGCACUGGCAAAAAGCUGCUUCUGCUGCUCGUGAGUCUGAUUGGCGAGCCACUCGGAUGUACUGUUCGUACUGAACUUAUUGACAACACAGCUUCUACUGCCACUAGCAAGGCAUUCAGCUUUUCUCUCUUCAGUCAGUCUAGCUGGGCAAAGCAGCAUUCCAAUGGUGAGGUUGGUUGUGGUGACACUGUGUGUGACGACCCUGGUGUCUGUUGACAUGUGGUGAUGCUUACUGCCAUGAAGGUGGUCUGCCAGCAAUCGCCAUGCAUAGAUGCUAAAUGCACGCAUCAGCAACUGGUAUGAGCGUUGUGUUGUCGUGCUGCGAUGCUGCGCGAGCACUUUGUGAACACCAUCAACUGUAACUUAGGCAUUUGCAAAGUCCUUCGCCGAGCCAUCCAGCAACUACUGGCUAUCCGAGCUCCAGCAGUCGAAAUUGCAGUAUGUGCAGGUAUACACCAUACUCAAGUCUGUGAUGGUGACAGACUUAUCAGGUGGCCUCCUCCAAAGUGGCCGAUCCACCAAGCUUGCUGAAGAAACGCAAUGCAAGCAUCAGGUGAUUUGAUCACAGGACGAGAGAGUAGCUGGUGGACGAUCUCUCCAGUGUUCCUCCUUGUUCGGAGCAGCGCCGAGUGCUGACGUUUGGGAUUGGGUACGUUAUGCUCGGUCGGCCUUGGCCCGUUCCGCUAUCCUUCGCCCGAGGGUCCCGUUGGUCUCGAGGUCCAGGUGUAAUAGCCCUACCCUACAGUCCGCUGGCCAGCGCGGCCCGGCAAAUUGUUGUUACACGGUGGAACAUUGGCAGGAGGUUGCUUGCUCGCUUGCCUCAUGCUAGGUGUCCUCAAGGUCUAGCAUCCGUAGCUGCCUCAGGGGGUGCCACUUCUCCCAUCAGCGUUGACUAGUCCUCCGUUUUAUUUAGCGUUGCUGCGUUCCUGUGCUACCCUGCCAGUCUCCGUUGGACCAGUGUCUUGUCAUGCUAUGCUACAGUUCCGUGCCUAUCCCUGUGCGUGGUCCUAGCGCCCCGUCUCACCAAAGCCUGAGUGUUCACAUCAGAUGUCUCGGUUCCGAGAACUGUCCCCCGCAGCCACCCAGUACAAGUACCUUCCCCCAGCUCGAUGCUCUGAGUGCGGCCAGUGACGAGCUAGUCAAGGACUCUGUCUCAGAACGUAUGGCGCAAAAAUUCCCCUCACGGUGCAGGUGCACCAGCACCCAUUCUACAGGCCACCCCCGCUAUCUACAUCACCACAGCCGCCGCCUCCACCUCCCCAACCUCUCUGUCUCCUGAUGCCUGACCGCCGGCCAGAGGAUGCACGCUGUGUCAUCCGCAGACGUCGGGCGCAGCGGACACAGCGGCAAGUCCGAUCGGCCGCCUACAUCGCUCGGGCUAGCCGCCAUGCCGCUGAUCGGCGGGCACGAAGGCGCACUGGGCAUCCACCUCUCCAGCCCACCCCC